CCUACGGGAGGCAGCAGUGGGGAAUAUUGCGCAAUGGGCGAAAGCCUGACGCAGCGACGCCGCGUGAGGGAUGAAGGUCUUCGGAUCGUAAACCUCUGUCAGCAGGGAAGAACGGUCACUGUGCUAAUCAGCAGUGAAUUGACGGUACCUGCAAAGGAAGCACCGGCUAACUCCGUGCCAGCAGCCGCGGUAAUACGGAGGGUGCGAGCGUUAAUCGGAAUUACUGGGCGUAAAGCGCUCGUAGGCGGUAUGUCAAGUCAAGGGGGAAAUCCCCGCGCUCAACGUGGGAACUGCCUUUGAAACUGGCAAACUGGAGUGUGUGAGAGGAUAGUGGAAUUCCAGGUGUAGGAGUGAAAUCCGUAGAGAUCUGGAGGAACAUCAGUGGCGAAGGCGACUAUCUGGCACAUAACUGACGCUGAGGAGCGAAAGCGUGGGUAGCAAACAGGAUUAGAUACCCCAGUAGUC
Molecule: ribosomal RNA, 465 nt
Filed under: uncultured bacterium
Lineage: Bacteria
Description: partial 16S ribosomal RNA
Rfam family: Bacterial small subunit ribosomal RNA
Source: RNAcentral